Molecule: ribosomal RNA, 468 nt
Filed under: uncultured bacterium
Lineage: Bacteria
Description: partial 16S ribosomal RNA
Rfam family: Bacterial small subunit ribosomal RNA
Source: RNAcentral
GACGAACGCUGGCGGCGUGCUUAACACAUGCAAGUCGAACGGAAAGGCCCUGCUUUUGUGGGGUGCUCGAGUGGCGAACGGGUGAGUAACGCGUGAGUAACCUUCCCUUGACUUUGGGAUAACUUCAGGAAACUGGGGCUAAUACCGGAUAGGAGCUCCUGCUGCAUGGUGGGGGUUGGAAAGUUUCGGCGGUUGGGGAUGGACUCGCGGCUUAUCAGCUUGUUGGUGGGGUAGUGGCUUACCAAGGCUUUGACGGGUAGCCGGCCUGAGAGGGUGACCGGCCACAUUGGGACUGAGAUACGGCCCAGACUCCUACGGGAGGCAGCAGUGGGGAAUAUUGCACAAUGGGCGGAAGCCUGAUGCAGCAACGCCGCGUGCGGGAUGACGGCCUUCGGGUUGUAAACCGCUUUCGCCUGUGACGAAGCGUGAGUGACGGUAAUGGGUAAAGAAGCACCGGCUAACUACGUG